AGGGCAAGUCUGGUGCCAGCAGCCGCGGUAAUUCCAGCUCCAAUAGCGUAUAUUAAAGUUGUUGCAGUUAAAAAGCUCGUAGUUGAAUUUCGGGGUUCUACCGUUGGUCGGGCUAUUGUCUGUACUGGCGUGUAGAAUUUCUACCUUCUGGAGAACUAUCAUGUUAUUAAUUUAGCGUGGUAGGAAACCAGGACCUUUACCUUGAAAAAAUUAGAGUGUUCAAAGCAGGCUUAUGUCUGAAUACAUUAGCAUGGAAUAAUAAAAUAGGACGGUGGUCCUGUUUUGUUGGUUUCUGAAUCACCGUAAUGAUUAAUAGGGAUAGUUGGGGGCAUUAGUAUUCAAUUGUCAGAGGUGAAAUUCUUGGAUUUAUUGAAGACUAACUACUGCGAAAGCAUUUGCCAAGGAUGUUUUCAUUAACCAAGAACGAAAGUUAGGGGAUCGAAGACGAUCAGAUACCGUCGUAGUCUUAACCAUAAACUAUGCCGACUAGGGAUCGGACGAUGUUAACUUUUCUUGACUCGUUCGGCGCCUUACGGGAA
RNAcentral lists this ribosomal RNA (539 nucleotides) under uncultured Glomeromycotina. Its description in RNAcentral is "SSU rRNA". It matches the Rfam family "Eukaryotic small subunit ribosomal RNA", at positions 552 to 1096 of the family's 1831-position model. The record is from RNAcentral. Lineage: Eukaryota; Fungi; Glomeromycota.